UUUUUUUGUAUUCUAAAACAAUUGGUUCAGCUGUUAACCUAUAGCGCAGUAAAUAAUAUAUUAUUUAUUAGUUAAUAUAACGUCCAAUUUCAUUCAUUAGGAUCGUUCUUUAGGAUGAUGAUUGCUUUGCUAAUAGCUUUAAGCUUUUACGCUUACGUGUUAUCCAUUUUAUUGCUCAAAGAAUGGAAGAGAGGCGCGAUCAGUUCUAAGUACCAUAGGGCUAUUCAGCGAACUACGUGCUUGUAUCGUCGUUUACGCAGAGUUCCGUUUAAUGACAUCGCUACUGUGGAACUGGGCCUUGGACUCGAUCCAUUCUAGCAGUGUUGUUGGGGAAUCAGUUCACGCAUACGUUUGCAACUUAUACACGGAGAAAGUAUGUUCAUGAUACAUACUUUUUUAAUAAAUUUAUUUUUUUGUUCGUAAUUCUUGGGCUUAUUUCUGUAUAAGUAUGUACGUGGUAAAAAGUUAAAAUUCUCAAUAAAGUA
Long non-coding RNA from Teleopsis dalmanni, 485 nucleotides. RefSeq lists it as uncharacterized. The transcript is spliced from 3 exons. NCBI's taxonomy places the organism in Eukaryota, Metazoa, Arthropoda, Insecta, Diptera, Diopsidae. The record is from RefSeq and is a predicted model, not a curated record.